Gossypium arboreum is the source of this 940-nucleotide long non-coding RNA. RefSeq lists it as uncharacterized. The record is from RefSeq and is a predicted model, not a curated record. The transcript is spliced from 2 exons. Lineage: Eukaryota; Viridiplantae; Streptophyta; Magnoliopsida; Malvales; Malvaceae.
GGUAAAUGUUUCAUGAUAAGAAUUUCAUGUCUUUUGUAUUAAAGAAUUAAAUGGAUGAAAUAUGAAGUUUUAUUAAAAGAAAAAGGGGUGAAAAGAACAAAGUUUUGUCCAUCUUUGUUCAUCAUAGCUGAAAGUUAGAGAAGAGAAAAGAGAGGAGAAAGCUCUUGAGUAUUUGGUCAUUAGGAAGAGGAAAAUUGACGGCAGUUCGUGUGUGGAUCUCGUCAGCAUAUCGUCGCAAACAGGUGUGUAACUAACACCCUCUUUCUUAGUCUGGAUCGGCAAAAGUCGAAAAGUCGAAAUGCCGAAAAUCGGUAUUUUGUAGAUUUGCGAGUGUGCGAAUGCUCGUGAGGUAAAUCGAUUAAUGUUUUUGGUAAGCUGCAAGAUUUGGACUGCAAAGUGCAUAAUUUCUGUGCCCUCGAUAUUUUUGGGCUUAAUGAGCCAAAAUUGGAAUGAUGGGCCAACGGGCCCAAUUCGGUAAGAACCCUCGGUAGUGAUUCUGUUAGUACGUGAAAAGUAGGAAUAUGCAUGAAAAACCCUAAAAGCAGCUAAAUUACUAUAAUACCCCUAUGUAUGGAAAAUUACUGUUAUACCCCUAGGUGCAAAAUUACCGAAAUACCCCUAGGGUUAAAUUGAUCUAAAUUCAUGUUUGACUGUUGUUAUUUACUGCAUGCCAUGUUGUUAUUAUAUGAUGCAUGGGAUUGGGAUAUUGACGGAGGAAGUACUGAAAGUGGCUUGUCCACAUACUGGAGGCUUUGCCUCAAUUUACUGUUAACUGAGCAGCAAUGCUGCAACUGUGGAGUGUUGGGCUGGGUGGGUUGAGCUAUUCCCCACAUGGAGUGUAUGGCUGGUACGGGUGGAGUGUAGUGGUUGGUGGGUUGAGUAGUCUCCCCAAAUGGGCUUGCAUAUGUUUACUGAUGUUGUAUGUAUUUUGAAAUGGGCC